This 2469-nucleotide small RNA is filed under the name Pan troglodytes (chimpanzee). RNAcentral describes it as "retained intron". Lineage: Eukaryota; Metazoa; Chordata; Mammalia; Primates; Hominidae. The record is from RNAcentral.
AUUUAACUUCGCGGCGGCGGCGGCGACUGCGGCGCCGCGGGCUGGAGGCCGGCGUCGGGGAAGGUCCUGGUGCCGGAUUCCGCACGAGGUGUUGACGGGCGGCUUCUGCCAACUUCUCCCCAGCGCGCGCCGAGCCCGCGCGGCCCCGGGGCUGCACGUCCCAGAUACUUCUGCGGCGCAAGGCUACAACUGAGACCCGGAGGAGACCAGACCCCAUGGCUUCCUGGACGAGCCCCUGGUGGGUGCUGAUAGGGAUGGUCUUCAUGCACUCUACCCUCCUGCAGACCACAGCUGAGAAAUCUCCCGGAGCCUAUUUCCUUCCUGAGUUUGCACUCUCUCCUCAGGGAAGUUUUCUGGAAGACACAACAGGGGAGCAGUUCCUCACUUAUCGCUAUGAUGACCAGACCUCAAGAAACACUCGUUCAGAUGAAGACAAAGAUGGCAACUGGGAUGCUUGGGGUGACUGGAGUGACUGCUCCCGGACCUGUGGGGGAGGAGCAUCAUAUUCUCUGCGGAGAUGUUUGACUGGAAGGAAUUGUGAAGGGCAGAACAUUCGGUACAAGACAUGCAGCAAUCAUGACUGCCCUCCAGAUGCAGAAGAUUUCAGAGCCCAGCAGUGCUCAGCCUACAAUGAUGUCCAGUAUCAGGGGCGUUACUAUGAAUGGCUUCCACGAUAUAAUGAUCCUGCUGCCCCGUGUGCACUCAAGUGUCAUGCACAAGGACAAAACUUGGUGGUGGAGCUGGCACCUAAGGUACUGGAUGGAACUCGUUGCAACACGGACUCCUUGGACAUGUGUAUCAGUGGCAUCUGUCAGGCAGUGGGCUGCGAUCGGCAACUGGGAAGCAAUGCCAAGGAGGACAACUGUGGAGUCUGUGCCGGCGAUGGCUCCACCUGCAGGCUUGUACGGGGACAAUCGAAGUCACACGUUUCUCCUGAAAAGAGAGAAGAAAAUGUAAUUGCUGUUCCUUUGGGAAGUCGAAGUGUGAGAAUUACAGUGAAAGGACCUGCCCACCUCUCCUCCGCUGCUGAUACCCAGGCAAACAGGGUCUGGAGUGGACCUCCAGCAAACUCCAACAGACCUGCAGCUGAGCAUCCUGACUGUUAGAAGGAAAACUAACAAACAGAAAGGACAUCCACACCAAAACCCCAUCUGUACGUCACCAUCAUCAAAGACCAAAGGUAGAUAAAACCACAAAGGUGGGGAAAAAACAGAGGAGAAAAACUGGAAACUCUAAAAAUCAGAGCACCUCUGCUCCUACAAAGGAACACAGCUCCUCACCAGCAACGGAACAAAGCUGGAUGGAGAAUGACUUUGACGAGUUGAGAGAAGAAGACUUCAGACAAUCAAACUACUCCGAGCUAAAGGGGAAGUUUGAACCCAUGGCAAAGAAGUUAAAAACCUUGAAAACAAAUUGGACGAAUGGCUAACUAGAAUAACCAAUGCAGAGAAGUCCUUAAAGGACCUGAUGGAGCUGAAAACCAAGGCACGAGAACGUGACGAAUGCACAAGCCUCAGUAGCCAAUUCGAUCAACUGGAAGAAAGGGUGUCUGUGAUGGAAGAUCAAAUGAAUGAAAUGAAGCGAGAAGAGAAGUUUAGAGAAAAAAAUAAUAAAAAGAAAUGGACAAAGCAUCCAAGAAAUAUGGGACAAUGUGAAAAGACCAAAUCUACGUCUGAUUGGUGUACCUGAAAGUGACGGGGAGAAUGGAACCAAGUUGGAAAACACUCUGCAGGAUAUUAUCCAGGAGAACUUCCCCAAUCUAGCAAGGCAGGCCAACAUUCAAAUUCAGGAAAUACAGAGAACGCCACAAAGAUACUCCUCAAGAAGAGCAACUGCAAGACACAUAAUUGUCAGAUUCACCAAAGUUCAAAUGAAGGAAAAAUUGUUAAGGGCAGUCAGAGAGAAAGGUCGGGUUACCCACAAAGGGAAGCCUAUCAGGCUAACAGCAGAUCUCUUGGCAGAAACUCUACAAGCCAGAAGAGAGUGGGGGCCAAUAUUCAACAUUCUUAAAGAAAAGAAUUUUCAACCCAGAAUUUCAUAUCCAGCCAAACUAAGCUUCAUAAGUGAAGGAGAAAUAAAAUCCUUUACAGAUAAGCAAAUGCUGAGAGAUUUUGUCACCACCAGGCCUGCCCUAAAAGAGCUCCUGAAGGAAGCACUCAACAUGCAAAGGAACAACUGGUACAAGCCACUGCAAAACCAUGCCAAAUUGUAAAGACCGUCGAGGCUAGGAAGAAACUGCAUCAACUAAUGGGCAAAAUAACCAGCUAACAUCAUAAUGACAGGAUCAAAUUCACACAUAACAAUAUUAACCUUAAAUGUAAAUGGGCUAAAUACCCCACUUAAAAGACACAGACUGGCAAAUUGGAUAAAGAGUCAAGACCCAUCAGUGUGCUGUAUUCAGGAAACCCAUCUCACGUGCAGAGACACACAUAGGCUCAAAAUAAAGGGAUGGAGGAAGACCUACCAAGC